RNAcentral lists this ribosomal RNA (325 nucleotides) under uncultured eukaryote. RNAcentral describes it as "partial 18S ribosomal RNA". It matches the Rfam family "Eukaryotic small subunit ribosomal RNA", at positions 1470 to 1796 of the family's 1831-position model. The record is from RNAcentral.
CCCUUAGAUGUUCUGGGCCGCACACGCGCUACACUGAAGGAGGCAGCGUGUACUCCUGGAUCGAAAGAUUUGGGUAACCCGCGAAUCUCCUUCGUGCUAGGGAUUGAGGUUUGCAAUUAUCCUUCAUGAACGAGGAAUUCCCAGUAAGUGCAAGUCAUAAGCUUGCGCUGACUACGUCCCUGCCCUUUGUACACACCGCCCGUCGCUACUACCGAUUGAAUGGUCCGGUGAAAUCUUCGGAUCUGAGAGAUGUUGGAUUAAUUUCUGACGCCUUUUGGAAAAGUCGCUUAAACCUUAUCAUUUAGAGGAAGGUGAAGUCGUAACA